This 2632-nucleotide small RNA is filed under the name Pan troglodytes (chimpanzee). RNAcentral describes it as "sense intronic". The stretch from base 2343 to 2418 matches the Rfam family "mir-10 microRNA precursor family". Lineage: Eukaryota; Metazoa; Chordata; Mammalia; Primates; Hominidae. The record is from RNAcentral.
UUUCUCUCCUCCGCGCCGCCGCCGCCGGUGCGCAGGCCGGCUGGGGACUCGCCUGCGCUCGGGCCUUCGGUUUCGCUCCCUCGCUGAGUCCCUUCUCCCCGCCAACAAAAGGUGAUGAUUCCUAGCGGACUGGGCACGCCUGGACGGCGGAGGGUGGCUGGGAGGCGCGAGGUCACGCUAGCAACCUGUGGCUGCCAGGAGAAGGCGGCUGGGAAGCCACGGAAAGACCCGGGAGCGCAGGAGAGGUGGCUCAGCUCGCGCGCAGCCCCUGCUCUUAUUUUACUAUUAUGCGUGUUGCUGUUCGUAUCCUUCUGGGCGGUGAAGGGGAGAGGCAGCCUCCCGCUCCGGUGAAACCCGUCCUGGGAGUCGCCCAUAAACCCUGUUCUCCAUCUCGGGCGGCUGGAGGGGUGAGGGGGGUGCGGCGCCUUGGUGGGAUUGGCAGGUGGUGGCUUCCAGGGCGCAGAGGAGAAAAAUCUCUGCUCUUGGGCGCCAGGAUCAAGGAUACCCAAACCCGCGGUGGCUCUGCCGCCUGUUCCUCUCUCUUGGGGUACUGGGGCACCUGGGCCGCAUCCCUUGUGAAGUGUAGAGCAGCAGAGAGGCCCGGCCGCCGGCCCAGCGGCCCUCCCAAACUUCCGAAAUGCCGACGGGUUGGACGGGUUUCCGAGAGCUGGCGAGUUGAGAAGGACAGGAGGUAUGGGGUGGGGGAGGGGCCUGGACCGUUGGAGUGGGUCCUGGAGACCCUAAGUGGCCUAUGACAAGAUUUGGAAAGGUCCCUGGUUGACGCUAGGGAGCUGGUGGGGAUCCUAGCAGCGCAUUUUGUCUGUGGGCCCUGGGCCAGACUCUAGUCUCCCUGAGUGCCCAGAUGGGGGUCUGAGAUUACCUAUUGGACCCUCUCUUGGCAAAGACAACCAUAGUGUGAUAGUUUGCUUUUUGCUCCCAAAUAUGUGUGAGUUCAGCCUGUCUGGGAGAAUGUUGAUGUUAGAAAUCAGGCCCAGAGGCCAACAUUGGCAAUUCCUAGAUUUAAGAUUAAAAGAAAAUCAGAGGGUCUCUGGACCUAGUUGUGGGCCGGUGGGAACUCUCCUCCUACCCACCUGCAAGGUCCCAGGACUGGGCAUAGGCAGAGAUCUCUGGAGUGUUGCAGUUAGAGGGUUAUUUUUGUGUUGUUCCUGUAUUUGUUAAUGAAAUUGAUAUUAUUUUGACUUCCUCACUAAAGAUGCAAGUAUUUCUCAGACCUAGGGAGUUGAGUAGGGAGUCUGGGUGGGGUGGAGGCUUUUUCUAUGCACAUUUUCCCUUACUCUGUCACAGCUUUCACAGUCUCAGUUCCCUCCAGCCCAAUCCCCAGACUCUCAGCUUAGUAAAUUCACGGCUUCUGGGAGCUUCAGAAAGUUGGUUCGGAAACCCCAGAUGCCCAUUUUGGCCCUACCACCAGCAACCCAAGCAGGUGGCUAGGCGAGUUCAUAUGUGUUUAGAAGGAAAGGACCCGUCUGGGGCUAGGAAGGUGGGGAAAUGGGGUUCCUCCCCACACCUCCCCGGGAUAGACCCUCUCUCCUGGCUCCCAGGAUGUGUGAGAGGCUGGGAGGGGCUCUAUAUCAUCUGGCUGCAUCUUUUAUGGUUCCUCAUUGCCCUUCAUUCGGAAAUGAAACGCCUUUGAUCUUUUCUCAGGUUGUAAACGGAAUUGCCCGUCAUUAAAUAUCCGGGGCCCCAUCUGCUUGGUCUCCCAGCAUUUUUCUUUACAGCUGUUUCUCUCUCUUUUUACCACUGAAUUUUUCCAAAAGGACUUUUAUUACACCACCUUCACACCCAGCCGCCUCUUCCUCCUCCCUUCGCUGAGAGGCGCUUUGGAAAAUAUCUAGAUAUUCGUUUGAUCACAAACUAAAGGCUUGGAGGGGCACGGAGGAGCCGAUUGGGGUUUUGUUUUUUCUAAAAAAAAAAAAAAAAAAAAAAAAAAAAAAAAAAAAAGUCCUGGGGGGAGGGGAGGGGCGCGAAGGCACCCAGAAAGGCCUGAAUCUGACUUCACGGCAGCCUCAGAAUGACCCUUCCUCCUUUUGUGCUUAGCUAAUGUUUACAUCUCAUAAUUCAUGCGCCACCGAGAGUUGCGCGGCGGCGGCGGAGGCAAGGUUCCCGUCCCUUUGCGAACUGGCUACUUGAAAUUCUAAUAGAAGAGGAGAAUUGAAAACCUUGUAAUCCCAAGAACGGACUCGCACUGCCUUUUUCUGUUCCCAGAGCUCAAAACUAGAACAAAACGAAAUAAAACCAAAGCACUCAAACCACACCCCAAACGAAGAAGGCGCGGAAAGUAGGAGAACUGGAAAAUUUCUGGGCCAAGAAGAUCUGUCUGUCUUCUGUAUAUACCCUGUAGAUCCGAAUUUGUGUAAGGAAUUUUGUGGUCACAAAUUCGUAUCUAGGGGAAUAUGUAGUUGACAUAAACACUCCGCUCUUAUUUUUCCAGAAGAUAUGUAUAUGUAGUAUUUUUCUGAAUGAGGACAGUCUGGUGACUGGCCACCCGAAGACUCCUUCCUCUUUAUUCCUCUAACUUUUCCUCCUUCAACUGGUUAGAGAUGGAGAAAUCAUCUACCUGAACUCUCCCCAAGCCUGCCCCUGGGAGCCUUGGUCCCUUUUCACAUCUCUUUAA